Molecule: ribosomal RNA, 691 nt
Filed under: Salmonella enterica
Lineage: Bacteria; Pseudomonadati; Pseudomonadota; Gammaproteobacteria; Enterobacterales; Enterobacteriaceae
Description: partial 23S ribosomal RNA
Rfam family: Bacterial large subunit ribosomal RNA
Source: RNAcentral
GGUUAAGCGACUAAGCGUACACGGUGGAUGCCCUGGCAGUCAGAGGCGAUGAAGGGCGUGCUAAUCUGCGAUAAGCGCCGGUAAGGUGAUAUGAACCGUUAUAACCGGCGAUACCCGAAUGGGGAAACCCAGUGUGACUCGUCACACUAUCAUUAACUGAAUCCAUAGGUUAAUGAGGCGAACCGGGGGAACUGAAACAUCUAAGUACCCCGAGGAAAAGAAAUCAACCGAGAUUCCCCCAGUAGCGGCGAGCGAACGGGGAGGAGCCCAGAGCCUGAAUCAGCAUGUGUGUUAGUGGAAGCGUCUGGAAAGGCGCGCGAUACAGGGUGACAGCCCCGUACACAAAAGCGCAUGUGCUGUGAGCUCGAUGAGUAGGGCGGGACACGUGGUAUCCUGUCUGAAUAUGGGGGGACCAUCCUCCAAGGCUAAAUACUCCUGACUGACCGAUAGUGAACCAGUACCGUGAGGGAAAGGCGAAAAGAACCCCGGCGAGGGGAGUGAAAAAGAACCUGAAACCGUGUACGUACAAGCAGUGGGAGCCCCACCACCAAAGCAUUCUCUGGUGUUGAAGGCCCUGCAAAGCAGCAUCGCGGUGGCGGAGCGUCGUUUGCGACGCCCAACACACAAAACAAGCGGUGAGUGCUUUGGGGUGGGGUGACUGCGUACCUUUUGUAUAAUGGGUCAGCGACUU